GGAGACAGAUCGCGUGUGGCGUGCGGCGAGAACGGUCGCGACGCGAAAUUUCUCUCGUUCGGCACUUUGACGAGCAAAAUUCGCGUGCGAUUCAAUACCUUUGGAUAUUCGAUCGAUAUUUUCGGUGAAUUAACGAACGAUGGAACGGCACGACGCGUUAUUUAGCCGCUGCUCUUGGUAAAUGAACGUUUAUUCGAUUUUUUAUCGUACGUGUCGAUUUUGUACGCGUGGUUUAAAAAUACAAAAUAUAUUUGGAAAUUACCAAGGCACGUGUAACGCUAUAUUUAGAUCAAACAAGGAAUAACUUUGCGUGUUUGCGUUUGAAAAAACGAUGGAAAACAAGGGAGGAACGGGUGUUAACCCGUGUUUCAUUCAUGCUCGUUAAUAAACCAACCAAUCUGGUAUUAUGUGUCGAUGAAUGAUUGAAAGUCUUAAUAUUUAUACGACGAGCAACGUUACUCAACUUGAAAGUACUCUUGCAAUACUAUUUGCAAUCAGUCGCUCAGACGAAUGGCCUCGUUCUUAAUUCAUUUUAUCCGUAUUUUGAUAAUAAAUAAUACAGCACGACGGAACGAGAAGAGGCAAAUAAGAAAAUAGGAAAUAAGAAUAAAUUGCUCGAAAAGUUGAAUGAAUAA
This is a long non-coding RNA of Apis cerana (Asiatic honeybee), 635 nucleotides long. RefSeq lists it as uncharacterized. NCBI's taxonomy places the organism in Eukaryota, Metazoa, Arthropoda, Insecta, Hymenoptera, Apidae. The record is from RefSeq and is a predicted model, not a curated record.